This 692-nucleotide long non-coding RNA is filed under the name Mus spicilegus (steppe mouse). RNAcentral describes it as "lncRNA (ENSMSIG00000024672.1)". Lineage: Eukaryota; Metazoa; Chordata; Mammalia; Rodentia; Muridae. The record is from RNAcentral.
AUUUGAACCAGGUGCUGAGAGCUGUCUGGCGUCUCCUGGCUGCUGUAUUAACCACGAACAUGCACAAGAGGAUUCCGAGGCAGUAAAAUGGAGCGGGACCAAUGGCAAUGACCAGGGCUGAGCGCGGCAGCUGUGGCGAUGAACAUUCAAAUCACACCCACGCGGUCGGGCCCAGGGCCCCCAGCCCCUGCCUGCUUCAGAGCUCUGGUUCGUUCCAUUUGCAUCCCGAGGGCAGGACUUGGCUUGCCAAAGCACAGCCCGACACAGCAGUUAGUCAAGGGCCUAGAAGGCUGUCACUCACAGGUUCAAAGAAUCCUUUCUCGCUUAGAAGGAUGACUCUCCCGAGGGCACUGUGCUGCCCUGUGAAGUCUCUGGUUUGGGAGAGGGUUGAAAUGAAGGCAAGUAAUGUCUACCUGUGCCAUCGUAGAAACGGACUUCUAACAUUGUUUUUCAAAGGUCUCCACUUCUCUCAAAGUCUGGCAAAUGUUGGAACUUUCCUGUUCUACGUAGGAGCCUGCAUGCCCCAUGUCUCUCCUUUGCUAAUGCUUUGGGAACACACCUUGCUUCAGAGGACAUGGCAGGCUGGAGUAUUAACUGGAGCUGUGACAGAGCAGGCUUUCAAUACAGUGUGGACUGUGCCAUCACCUAUGCUCACAACAUUUUUAAUGAGAAAUAACAAAACGACUCCAGGU